Molecule: unclassified non-coding RNA, 329 nt
Filed under: soil metagenome
Description: partial contains 5.8S ribosomal RNA, internal transcribed spacer 2, and large subunit ribosomal RNA
Rfam family: 5.8S ribosomal RNA (bases 1-120)
Source: RNAcentral
GAUGAAGAACGCAGUGAAAUGCGAUAAGUAAUGUGAAUUGCAGAAUUCAGUGAAUCAUCGAAUCUUUGAACGCACAUUGCGCCCCUUGGUAUUCCGAGGGGCAUGCCUGUUCGAGCGUCAUUAUAACCCCUCAAGCUCAGCUUGGUGUUGGGGCCUGCUGCACUGGCAGCCCUUAAAAUCAGUGGCGGCACCAUCUGGCUCUAAGCGUAGUAAUUCUUCUCGCUAUGGAGUCCUGGUGGAUGCUUGCCAUCAACCCCCAAUUUUUCUAUGGUUGACCUCGGAUCAGGUAGGGAUACCCGCUGAACUUAAGCAUAUCAAUAAGCGGAGGA